UCAACGGAGGAACUGCAGGGUGAACCGCGUGCCUUGAGACAGGUAGGGGCUGUCGGAACGCUAGGUGGANUGGUGAAAUGCGUUGAUAUCUAGCGGAACGCCAAAGGUGAAAUCAGGCAGCUGGGCCUGUUCUGACGCUGAGGUACGAAAGCGUGGGGAGCGAACGGGAUUAGAUACCCCGGUAGUCCACGCUGUAAACGAUGUGCACUAGAUCGAGGGGGUUCUGACACUGCUCUCGGUCGAAGCGAAAGUGUUAAGUGCACCGCCUGGGGAGUACGGUCGCAAGGCUAAAACUCAAAGGAAUUGACGGGGGCUCACACAAGCGGUGGAGCAUGUGGCUUAAUUCGAAGCAACGCGAAGAACCUUAUCCUGGGUUUGACAUGUACGGAUUAACUCCUGGAAACAGGAGCCACGCCCUUCGGGUGGAACGUACACAGGUGCUGCAUGGCUGUCGUCAGCUCGUGCUGUGAAGUGUCGGGUUAAGUCCCUUAACGAGCGCAACCCCUAUCGCUAGUUGCCAGCGCGUCAUGGCGGGGACUCUAGCGAGACUGCCGGUGUCAAACCGGAGGAAGGUGGGGACGACGUCAAGUCCGCAUGGCCUUUAUGCCCAGGGCUGCACACGUGCUACAAUGGCCGGUACAGAACGAUGCAAGACCGCGAGGUGGAGCAAAUCGCUAAAACCGGCCCCAGUUCAGAUUGGAGGCUGCAACUCGCCUCCAUGAAGUCGGAAUCGCUAGUAAUCGGGGAUCAGCUACGCCCCGGUGAUACGUUCCUGAGCCUUGUACACACCGCCCGUCAAGUCAUGGAAGCUGGCAGCACCCGAAGUCGCCGCGAUUCAGCGGUGCCCACGGUGAGGCUGUGACUGGGACUGAGUCGUAACAAGUAACC
Molecule: ribosomal RNA, 888 nt
Filed under: uncultured organism
Description: bacterial SSU rRNA
Rfam family: Bacterial small subunit ribosomal RNA
Source: RNAcentral